GUUAAAAAGCUCGUAGUCGGAUUUCAAUGCGGGUUGACCGGUCUGCCGAUGGGUAUGCACUGGCCGAGCCGUAUUUCCUCCCGGAGACCUCGCCUACUCUUAACUGAGGCGGGCGGGGGAAACGGGAUUUUUACUUUGAGGAAAUCAGAGUGUUCAAAGCAGGCUUUUGUAUGUAUGUGUUAGCAUGGGAUAAUGAAAUAGGACUUUGGUGCUAUUUUGUUGGUUUCGAACACCGAAGUAAUGAUUAAUAGGGAUAGUCAGGGGCACUCGUAUUCCACCGAGAGAGGUGAAAUUCUUAGACCAGUGGAAGACGAACUUCUGCGAAAGCAUUUGCCAGGGAUGUUUUCACUGAUCAAGAACGAAAGUUAGGGGAUCGAAGACGAUCAGAUACCGUCGUAGUCUUAACCAUAAACCAUGCCGACUAGGGAUUGGGGGAUGUUAUUUUUACGACUCCUUCAGCACCUUACGAGAAAUCAAAGUCUUUGGGUUCCGGGGGGAGUAUGGUCGCAAGGCUGAAACUUAAAGGAAUUGACGGAAGGGCACCACCAGGAGUGGAGCCUGCGGCUUAAUUUGACUCAACACGGGGAAACUUACCAGGUCCAGACAUAGUAAGGAUUGACAGAUUAAGAGCUCUUUCUUGAUUCUAUGGGUGGUGGUGCAUGGCCGUUCUUAGUUGGUGGAGUGAUUUGUCUGGUUAAUUCCGUUAACGAA
RNAcentral lists this ribosomal RNA (711 nucleotides) under uncultured marine eukaryote. RNAcentral describes it as "SSU rRNA". It matches the Rfam family "Eukaryotic small subunit ribosomal RNA", at positions 618 to 1335 of the family's 1831-position model. The record is from RNAcentral.